GGACGUGGCGGGGUGCUUACCUGCAGUCGAACGAUGAAGCCCAGCUUGCUGGGUGGAUUAGUGGCGAACGGGUGAGUAACACGUGAGUAACCUGCCCUUGACUCUGGGAUAAGCCUGGGAAACUGGGUCUAAUACCGGAUAGGAACGUCCACCGCAUGGUGGUUGUUGGAAAGAUUUAUCGGUCAUGGAUGGACUCGCGGCCUAUCAGCUUGUUGGUGAGGUAAUGGCUCACCAAGGCGACGACGGGUAGCCGGCCUGAGAGGGUGACCGGCCACACUGGGACUGAGACACGGCCCAGACUCCUACGGGAGGCAGCAGUGGGGAAUAUUGCACAAUGGGCGAAAGCCUGAUGCAGCGACGCCGCGUGAGGGAGUGACGGCCUUCGGGUUGUAAACCUCUUUCAGUAGGGAAGAAGCGAAAGUGACGGUACCUGCAGAAGAAGCACCGGCUAACUACGUGCCAGCAGCCGCGGUAAUACGUAGGGUGCGAGCGUUAUCCGGAAUUAUUGGGCGUAAAGAGCUCGUAGGCGGUUUGUCGCGUCUGUCGUGAAAGUCCGGGGCUUAACCCCGGAUCUGCGGUGGGUACGGGCAGACUAGAGUGCAGUAGGGGAGACUGGAAUUCCUGGUGUAGCGGUGGAAUGCGCAGAUAUCAGGAGGAACACCGAUGGCGAAGGCAGGUCUCUGGGCUGUAACUGACGCUGAGGAGCGAAAGCAUGGGGAGCGAACAGGAUUAGAUACCCUGGUAGUCCAUGCCGUAAACGUUGGGCACUAGGUGUGGGGACCAUUCCACGGUUUCCGCGCCGCAGCUAACGCAUUAAGUGCCCCGCCUGGGGAGUACGGCCGCAAGGCUAAAACUCAAAGGAAUUGACGGGGGCCCGCACAAGCGGCGGAGCAUGCGGAUUAAUUCGAUGCAACGCGAAGAACCUUACCAAGGCUUGACAUGUUCUCGAUCGCCGUAGAGAUACGGUUUCCCCUUUGGGGCGGGAUCACAGGUGGUGCAUGGUUGUCGUCAGCUCGUGUCGUGAGAUGUUGGGUUAAGUCCCGCAACGAGCGCAACCCUCGUUCCAUGUUGCCAGCACGUAAUGGUGGGGACUCAUGGGAGACUGCCGGGGUCAACUCGGAGGAAGGUGGGGACGACGUCAAAUCAUCAUGCCCCUUAUGUCUUGGGCUUCACGCAUGCUACAAUGGCCGGUACAAUGGGUUGCGAUACUGUGAGGUGGAGCUAAUCCCAAAAAGCCGGUCUCAGUUCGGAUUGGGGUCUGCAACUCGACCCCAUGAAGUCGGAGUCGCUAGUAAUCGCAGAUCAGCAACGCUGCGGUGAAUACGUUCCCGGGCCUUGUACACACCGCCCGUCAAGUCACGAAAGUCGGUAACACCCGAAGCCGGUGGCCUAACCCUUGUGGGGGGAGCCGUCGAAGGGACCUC
This 1424-nucleotide ribosomal RNA is filed under the name Micrococcus endophyticus. RNAcentral's name for it is "bacterial SSU rRNA". It matches the Rfam family "Bacterial small subunit ribosomal RNA". Lineage: Bacteria; Bacillati; Actinomycetota; Actinomycetes; Micrococcales; Micrococcaceae. The record is from RNAcentral.